UACGAAGGAUGCAAGCGUUAUCCGGAUUUAUUGGGUUUAAAGGGAGCGUAGGCGGUCUUAUAAGUCAGUGGUGAAAUCUUGUCGCUUAACGACAAACGUGCCAUUGAUACUGUAGGACUUGAGUACAGAUGCCGUUGGCGGAAUGUGUCAUGUAGCGGUGAAAUGCAUAGAUAUGACACAGAACACCGAUUGCGAAGGCAGCUGACGAAACUGUAACUGACGCUGAGGCUCGAAAGCGUGGGGAUCAAACAG
RNAcentral lists this ribosomal RNA (252 nucleotides) under uncultured bacterium. Its description in RNAcentral is "partial 16S ribosomal RNA". It matches the Rfam family "Bacterial small subunit ribosomal RNA", at positions 524 to 775 of the family's 1533-position model. The record is from RNAcentral.